Molecule: long non-coding RNA, 251 nt
Filed under: Trifolium pratense (red clover)
Lineage: Eukaryota; Viridiplantae; Streptophyta; Magnoliopsida; Fabales; Fabaceae
Description: long non-coding RNA (TPRA_LNC002275)
Source: RNAcentral
AAUAAUACAAAGGUCAAAAGGCAAAAACUAUAUUAAUAAAGAUAUAAAAAGACACAAAGAAGGUCAAUAAGUACCAUCAAAUUACAUGAGUCUCCCAUCCUUCACAAAACAAACAAAGAAGCAUGACAAUAUUGUGUCCAAGACAAAAACAAACUAAUUAUCCUAAUCCCCUAGAUGAUGUUCAUGACACUAAUUAUAACAAGACAAACCAAUCAACCUAAGCAAUUCCUCUGCCAAUUGCCAAACCAAGN